Molecule: long non-coding RNA, 3734 nt
Organism: Peromyscus californicus insignis
Lineage: Eukaryota; Metazoa; Chordata; Mammalia; Rodentia; Cricetidae
Exons: 3
Source: RefSeq, a predicted model, not a curated record
CCAGGGGCUCUAAGCUUUGGGGGUGAGCCAGCUCCUGCAUCUUCUUCACCAUCUGCCCACAGUAUCUACACAAAGUAAGUCCUGUGCAGAGCGCCCCCUGUGGCUGAGCAGUGCUCAACAACACUCAAGUCCUGCCCUGCCUUCUCAGGAAUCUCGUCCACUGUGUACUCUGUAUUAGUUCCUUUUCCAGGUGCUGUGAUCAAAUGUUGUCACAAAAGCCACCCGAGGGAGAAAGGGUGUAUUACAACUCAUCGUUCAAGGGUACAAGCUAUCAUGCCAUGGAAGGGAUGGUGUCAGCAAGAGAGGGCGGCGGUCACAUGGCAUCCACAGUCAGGAGAGAGAUGAACACUGGUGCUCAGUCCACUUUCUCCUUUUUCUUAGGACUGGGUCUUCCCAUCUCAAUGAACAGAAUCUAGAUAAUCCCUCCAAGGCAGGCCCAGAGCCUAAUACAGUCUUCUAGGUGAUUUUAGAUCCUAUCAAGUUCAUAAUCCAUAUUAACCAACACGGAUUUCAACGAGAGCCUGGCCAGACACCAUGAGAGCCAGGGAGGGCCAGCUUAGCUGUGCCCAGGGAGCUCCAGGAAGGGGCCCGUGGGUCAGCCAGCUCCUGGAGGGCUGCAUAAUCCAGCCAGGCUGGAGGCCACGGAGAAGCAGCACCGGAGUCUGCAGCCUCAGCUUCUGGGAUGAGGCGGGGAGAGGGACUGGAGCUGCAAAGCCUGGAGCCCACGUGUCCUGAAGGCUGUGGCUGCCCUCUCCUUGCCAAGGGAAGGGAUUUUCAAAGUCAGAAUAAAAGGUCCAGCCAGCUUUGCUCCUGGACUGGAGGGCAUGGGGGUACAAAAAAGGUAGCCAAGACACACAAGGACAGCUCCAGGCCUUCCUCCUGGGACUCAAGCUUGAUGACAUCGCUUCCUCCUGUUCUGUCUAGUCACGAGUUCUUUUUCCAGAAAGUCUUUGGGGGAACCUCCCCUGGCCCUGAAAAGACACUCCUUCUGGACUCCUAAGGACACUGAACUUGGUCUCCACACUUUCCAGCUGUUCUGGGAGGACCAGAUCAUACAGCUACUCCCCAGUCCUGCCAUGGGCCAGAGAAGGCACUUUCACAGGACUCAGAAGAUUAAUCCCAGGAAUGGCUCUUGGUUUUCUCCAGGUGCAGGCUGCUUCUUUUUUUUUUUUUUUUUUUGUCUUUUCGAGACAGGGUUUCUCUGUGUUGUUUUGGCACCUUUCCUGGAUCUCAUUCUGUAGACCAGGCUGGCCUCGAACUCACAGAGAUCCUCCUGGCUCUGCCUCCCGAGUGCUGGGAUUAAAGGAGUGUGCCACCACCACCCGGCACAGGCUGCUUCUUACUCAUCCAUGUCUCCAACACUUAACCCAGAGCCUGGCAUCCCGUAGGUGCUCAAUUAAUGUCUGCUUGAAUAAUGUAACUUCUGGAUUCUGUGCCACAGGCAGGCAGGGAACCUCAGAUGUGGUUACCAAGGCUCCAUGGACCUCCUUUUGAAAGUCUCUGACUGGUCUGGAAUUUACCAAGUUUCUACCCUAUAGUCACCUAGUGCCACAGCUGCUAUUUUAGAAACUGACUGCCACCCAGGCUCUGCACAGGAGUGUCACUAUUAGGAGGUGUGGCCUUGUUGGAGGAAACGUGUCACCGUGGGGACAGGCUUUGAGGCCUCCUGUAUGCUCAAGCUAUGCCCAGUACACAGUGACUCCUUCUGCUGGCUGUAGAUCAAGAUGCGGAACUCUCAACUCCUUCUCCAGCACCAUGUCUGCCUGCCUGGUAACGCUCCUUGCUGUGAUAAUGGACUAAACAUCUGAAACUGUAAGCCAGCCCCAAUUAUGCUGUCUCUUCACAGCAAUAGAAACCCUAAGGUUGGGAGAAAAGGGAUUCUUUGGUAACACUUCCUGGUCACAGCCCAUCACUAAGGGAAGUCAGAAUAUAAACUUAUGCAAGCACUUGAAGCUGGGCGAUGGUGGCACACGCCUUUAAUCCCAGCACUUGGAAGGCAGAGCCAGGCGGAUCUCUGUGAGCUCAAGGCCAGCCUGGUCUACAGAGCGAGAUCCAGGACAGGCACCAAAACUACACAGAGAAACCCUGUCUCGGAAAAAAAAAAAUGGGGCUGGAGAGAUGGCUCAGUGGUUAAGAGCACUGACUGCUCUUCCAGAAGACCCAGGUUCAAUUCCCAGCACCCACAUGGCAGCUCACAACUGUCUGUAACUCCAGUACUAAGGGAUCCAACACCCUCACACAGACAUACGUGUAAGCAAAACACCAAUGCACAUAAAAUAAAAAUGAACAAAAUUAAAAAAAAAAAAAAGAACUUGAGGCAGAAGAUGGAGGAUUGCAGCAUGUUGGUUAAAACUCUGACUUACUCACCAGCUCGUGCUCAGCUAGCUUUUACUAUUUUAAAUAUUUACUUACUUACUUUAUAUAUAUGAAUGUUUUGCCUGCAUGUAGAUAUGUCCACCACAUGUGUGAGGUGACUACAGAGGCCAGAAGAGGGUGUCAGAACCUCUGGACCUGGAGCUACAGAAUGUUAUGAGCUGCCAUGUUGGAGCUUGGAGUCAAACCCAGGUCCUCUGCAAGAGGAGCCAGUGCUCUUAAUCACUGUGUCAUCUCUCCAGGCCCCUCAGCUCGAAUUUUUUUUUUUCAACUAGCUUUUUUAUACAGCCCAGGCUCACCUGUUUAGGGAUGAUGACACCACAGUGGCCUGGAGAAUUAAUAUGCCCUUGAUACCUCAAGAACAGUGUAGGUGUACUGCUGGUGCUGAAAGCGAAUUGCUUCUGGUGGUCCUUAUGGACAAGCACUGGGAAAAAGCUACCAGAAGACUCGUUAAUCUGGUCAAGUAAGGAAACCACAUCUGGUGCAGCAGCUGCAACUGGCAUUACUGCUUAGGUUUUCGGUAGUCAGCCAUCACCCUCCAUAGCCCAUCUGUCUCCUAUACACCACCGAAUAGAGUUAAAGGGUGAUGUGGUGGGAACCCCCACUCCUGCACCUUUCAGGUCCUUGAUGGUGGUACUAGUUUACAUAAUCCUUCUAAAGAUCUCUUUGCAUCACUGUUUUCCAGUGUCCCUUGAACACCAGCAUCUUCCACACUUAGGUCCGACCUGAGAGAAGGAGCAUCAAUGAAGCUCAUCGGAUGCGCUGGCACUCCUCUGCCACUGUGCAUCUUCCAGCACUAGUCAAGGACAUGGGUUCUGGGCUCUUCUGCUGUGGAGGAUUAGGUGUUGCAGUGGAUCUACGCUAGCAUUCCAAUUUCCCUAAGCCUCCAAAUCCUUUCACCAGCACUAAGCCAAAGGAUCAGGCAUCUCCAGCUCGUGCUCAGUAGGCCAUUUUUUGAUAAAUACUCAGGCAACAUAUUAAAUGAACUCCCUGCCCCCCCCCUUUUUUGAGACAGUCUAUGUAGUCCAGUGGUUCUCAACCUGUGGGUCGGGAUCCCUUUGGAGGUCGCUUAUCAGAUAUCCUGCAUGUCUGAUAUUUACAUUACGGUUCAUAACAGUAGUAAAAUUACGCUUAUGUUGAAAGACCCUAACCCUUCAGGCUUACACCCCCCUAAGCCCCAGGAGAAUAAGGAACUAAAAAGAAAACUACUUCCAAGGGCAACCCGACUCAGCCAUUAUUCAACCACCCCUGCCACAAUGUAAUAAUGUAAAGAGAUUUCUGUUAAGAGAUGUGCUCAACUGUGACUGGGAUAGUUGCAGGUGUUCCAGGAAGGACCACUGUGACCUUUGUGUAAACUCCAC